UACGGGGGGGGCAAGCGUUGUUCGGAAUUACUGGGCGUAAAGGGCUCGUAGGUGGCCAACUAAGUCAGACGUGAAAUCCCUCGGCUUAACCGGGGAACUGCGUCUGAUACUGGAUGGCUUGAGUUUGGGAGAGGGAUGCGGAAUUCCCAGUGUAGCGGUGAAAUGCGUAGAUAUUGGGAGGAACACCGGUGGCGAAGGCGGCUCACUGGACCGGUACUGACGCUGAGACGCGAAAGCCAGGGGAGCAAACGGG
Molecule: ribosomal RNA, 253 nt
Filed under: uncultured bacterium
Lineage: Bacteria
Description: partial 16S ribosomal RNA
Rfam family: Bacterial small subunit ribosomal RNA
Source: RNAcentral